RNAcentral lists this ribosomal RNA (649 nucleotides) under uncultured crenarchaeote. RNAcentral's name for it is "bacterial SSU rRNA". It matches the Rfam family "Archaeal small subunit ribosomal RNA", at positions 672 to 1320 of the family's 1478-position model. The record is from RNAcentral. Lineage: Archaea; Thermoproteati; Thermoproteota.
GCGUCAGACUGGAACGCGCCUGACGGUGAGGGACGAAAGCCAGGGGAGCGAACCGGAUUAGAUACCCGGGUAGUCCUGGCCGUAAACGAUGCAUACUAGGCAAUGGUGCGGCUAUGAGCCGCAUCAGUACCGUAGGGAAACCGUUAAGUGUGCCGCCUGGGAAGUACGGUCGCAAGGCUAAAACUUAAAGGAAUUGGCGGGGGAGCACCACAAGGGGUGAAGCCUGCGGUUCAAUUGGACUCAACGCCGGGAAACUUACCAGGGGAGACAGCAGAAUGACAGUCAGGUUGACGACCUUACUCGACGAGCUGAGAGGAGGUGCAUGGCCGUCGCCAGUUCGUGCUGUGAGGUAUCCUGUUAAGUCAGGCAACGAACGAGAUCCGCGCCUUUAUUUGCCAUCAAGAAGUCACGACUUCGUUGGGAACACUAAAGGGACCGCCGUCGAUAAGACGGAGGAAGGAGCGGGCAAAGGCAGGUCAGUAUGCCCCGAAACCCCUGGGCUACACGCGGGCUGCAAUGGUGCGAACAAUGGGCUGUAACUCCGAAAGGAGAAACCAAUCCCGAAAUCGCAUCUCAGUGGGGAUUGUCGACUGUAACUCGUUGACAUGAACGUGGAUCCCUAGUAAUCGCGUGUCACCAUCGCGCGGUG